Molecule: ribosomal RNA, 461 nt
Filed under: uncultured bacterium
Lineage: Bacteria
Description: partial 16S ribosomal RNA
Rfam family: Bacterial small subunit ribosomal RNA
Source: RNAcentral
GAUAAACGCUGGCGGCGUGCUUAACACAUGCAAGUCGAACGAAGUUUUUCUUUCGGGAGGAACUUAGUGGCGGACGGGUGAGUAACGCGUGGGUAACCUGCCCUGUACAGGGGGACAACAGCUGGAAACGGCUGCUAAUACCGCAUAAGCCCUUAGCACUGCAUGGUGCAUAGGGAAAAGGAGCAAUCCGGUACAGGAUGGACCCGCGUCUGAUUAGCCAGUUGGCAGGGUAACGGCCUACCAAAGCGACGAUCAGUAGCCGAUCUGAGAGGAUGUACGGCCACAUUGGGACUGAGACACGGCCCAGACUCCUACGGGAGGCAGCAGUGGGGAAUAUUGCACAAUGGAGGAAACUCUGAUGCAGCGACGCCGCGUGAGUGAAGAAGUAUUUCGGUAGGUAAAGCUCUAUCAGCAGGAAAGAAAAUGACGGUACCUGACUAAGAAGCACCGGCUAAAUACGU